RNAcentral lists this ribosomal RNA (1949 nucleotides) under human skin metagenome. RNAcentral's name for it is "bacterial LSU rRNA". It matches the Rfam family "Bacterial large subunit ribosomal RNA", at positions 1 to 1977 of the family's 2925-position model. The record is from RNAcentral.
UUAAGCGACUAAGCGUACACGGUGGAUGCCCUGGCAGUCAGAGGCGAUGAAGGACGUGCUAAUCUGCGAUAAGCGUCGGUGAGGUGAUAUGAACCGUUAUAACCGGCGAUUUCCGAAUGGGGAAACCCAGUGUGUUUCGACACACUAUCAUUAACUGAAUCCAUAGGUUAAUGAGGCGAACCGGGGGAACUGAAACAUCUAAGUACCCCGAGGAAAAGAAAUCAACCGAGAUUCCCCCAGUAGCGGCGAGCGAACGGGGAGGAGCCCAGAGCCUGAAUCAGUGUGUGUGUUAGUGGAAGCGUCUGGAAAGGCGUGCGAUACAGGGUGACAGCCCCGUACACAAAAAUGCACAUAUUGUGAGCUCGAUGAGUAGGGCGGGACACGUGGUAUCCUGUCUGAAUAUGGGGGGACCAUCCUCCAAGGCUAAAUACUCCUGACUGACCGAUAGUGAACCAGUACCGUGAGGGAAAGGCGAAAAGAACCCCGGCGAGGGGAGUGAAAAAGAACCUGAAACCGUGUACGUACAAGCAGUGGGAGCCUCUUAAUGGGGUGACUGCGUACCUUUUGUAUAAUGGGUCAGCGACUUAUAUUCUGUAGCAAGGUUAACCGAAUAGGGGAGCCGAAGGGAAACCGAGUCUUAACUGGGCGUUAAGUUGCAGGGUAUAGACCCGAAACCCGGUGAUCUAGCCAUGGGCAGGUUGAAGGUUGGGUAACACUAACUGGAGGACCGAACCGACUAAUGUUGAAAAAUUAGCGGAUGACUUGUGGCUGGGGGUGAAAGGCCAAUCAAACCGGGAGAUAGCUGGUUCUCCCCGAAAGCUAUUUAGGUAGCGCCUCGUGAAUUCAUCUCCGGGGGUAGAGCACUGUUUCGGCAAGGGGGUCAUCCCGACUUACCAACCCGAUGCAAACUGCGAAUACCGGAGAAUGUUAUCACGGGAGACACACGGCGGGUGCUAACGUCCGUCGUGAAGAGGGAAACAACCCAGACCGCCAGCUAAGGUCCCAAAGUCAUGGUUAAGUGGGAAACGAUGUGGGAAGGCCCAGACAGCCAGGAUGUUGGCUUAGAAGCAGCCAUCAUUUAAAGAAAGCGUAAUAGCUCACUGGUCGAGUCGGCCUGCGCGGAAGAUGUAACGGGGCUAAACCAUGCACCGAAGCUGCGGCAGCGACACUAUGUGUUGUUGGGUAGGGGAGCGUUCUGUAAGCCUGUGAAGGUGGCCUGUGAGGGUUGCUGGAGGUAUCAGAAGUGCGAAUGCUGACAUAAGUAACGAUAAAGCGGGUGAAAAGCCCGCUCGCCGGAAGACCAAGGGUUCCUGUCCAACGUUAAUCGGGGCAGGGUGAGUCGACCCCUAAGGCGAGGCUGAAAAGCGUAGUCGAUGGGAAACAGGUUAAUAUUCCUGUACUUGGUGUUACUGCGAAGGGGGGACGGAGAAGGCUAUGUUGGCCGGGCGACGGUUGUCCCGGUUUAAGCGUGUAGGCUGGUUUUCCAGGCAAAUCCGGAAAACCAAGGCUGAGGCGUGAUGACGAGGCACUACGGUGCUGAAGCGACAAAUGCCCUGCUUCCAGGAAAAGCCUCUAAGCAUCAGGUAACAUCAAAUCGUACCCCAAACCGACACAGGUGGUCAGGUAGAGAAUACCAAGGCGCUUGAGAGAACUCGGGUGAAGGAACUAGGCAAAAUGGUGCCGUAACUUCGGGAGAAGGCACGCUGAUAUGUAGGUGAAGCGACUUGCUCGUGGAGCUGAAAUCAGUCGAAGAUACCAGCUGGCUGCAACUGUUUAUUAAAAACACAGCACUGUGCAAACACGAAAGUGGACGUAUACGGUGUGACGCCUGCCCGGUGCCGGAAGGUUAAUUGAUGGGGUUAGCGGUAACGCGAAGCUCUUGAUCGAAGCCCCGGUAAACGGCGGCCGUAACUAUAACGGUCCUAAGGUAGCGAAAUUCCUUGUCGGGU